Molecule: small RNA, 57 nt
Organism: Burkholderia sp.
Lineage: Bacteria; Pseudomonadati; Pseudomonadota; Betaproteobacteria; Burkholderiales; Burkholderiaceae
Rfam family: Betaproteobacteria toxic small RNA
About the family: Overexpression in amino aid rich medium attenuates growth, suggesting role in repressing amino acid intake and metabolism.
Source: Rfam
UGUCUCCUCCAUGUCUCAACAUGGAUUAAGCCCGCCCACUGAGGUGGGCUUUUUUUC